UCCCGGCCUAUCAGCUUGUUGGUGGGGUAGUGGCUUACCAAGGCUUUGACGGGUAGCCGGCCUGACAGGGUGACCGGCCACAUUGGGACUGAGAUACGGCCCAUACUCCUACCGGAGGGCUCCCUGGGGAAUAUUGCCCAAUGGGCGGAAGCCUGAUGCAGCAACGCCGCGUGCGGGAUGACGGCCUUCGGGUUGUAAACCGCUUUCCCCUGUGACGAAACGUGAGUGACCGUCAUGGGUAAAGAAGCACCGGCUAACUACAUGCCAGCUCCCGCGGUGAUACCUAGGGUGCGAGCGUUGUCCGGAUUUAUUGGGCGUAAAGGGCUCGUACGUGGUUGAUCGCAUCAGAAGUGUAAUCUUGGGGCUUAACCCUGAGCGUGCUUUCAAUACGGGUUGACUUGAUGAAGGUAGGGGAGAAUGGAAUUCCUGGUGGAGCGGUGGAAUGCUCACAUAUCAAGAGGAACACCCCAGGCGAAGGCGGUUCUCUGGGCCUUUCCUGACGCUGAGGAGCGAAAGCGUGGGGAGCGAACAGGCUUAAAUACCCUGGUAGUCCACGCUGUAAACGGUGCGUACUACGUGUGGGGUCCAUUCCACGGCUUCCGUGCCGUAACUCACGCUUUCAGUACCCCGCCUGGGGAGUACGG
Molecule: ribosomal RNA, 644 nt
Filed under: uncultured bacterium
Lineage: Bacteria
Description: bacterial SSU rRNA
Rfam family: Bacterial small subunit ribosomal RNA
Source: RNAcentral